GUUCCAGUAUCUUCAAAGCAAGUCGCCUAUAAAACUGCAAUAUUCAUGCUUUCUUAGCCCCACGGAUGGCCUCAGAGAUGAAGAAGGAUUUUGUGAACAAGCAGAUUUUAGGAGGACUGAGAGAACUGGAAGUUCUGGGGUGGCUCCACAGAGCGGCAGUGUGUUCUUGCUGCUGCUGAGUGCUCCCCACCUUGAUGCUGCAGGUGGCUGACCAAGAGAUGGGAAGAGACAGAGAAGCAAUCCCAGAUUCAAUGAGCAGCAGGCUAAGGAGGCACAAGGCCAGUUCCCUCUGAUUGGCGGCAUACUCGGAAAUCUUGCUUUGUAUGAGAAGUUUGAGAGUCUGGAAAGUUGUCUGAAGACUUGAAGAAGACACACUGGGACCGUUUCAUUUGGGGAAUGUUCAUUUUGAGUAUAAAUCAUAAUUGCUGGAUCAUUGUUUUAUAUAUCCCUGUUUUUAUUGGUAUGUCACAACUUGGGGUGACAAGGAAGACUUCUGCUUUUUGAGACUGUAUAUAAAUUCUGUGUUGAAAGAUUAGUCUGUUUCCCUGGGAGAAUGUAAUUGUUUGGGGAAUACACACCACUUGUGAAACUAAGGAGUAUUGUCCUCAGAGCAGCUGCAUCUCUGAGCCAGAGGCUUAGAUAAACUAACCAUGACUAGAUUAGGAUUGGCUUUUUAGCGUGUUUGAGAUAACUGUUGGGUUUGUACCAAAAAGUACCUAAGUGGUUUAUACAUUUUUAGGUUGCCGUUCCUUGUUGAUUGUAAAGUCCAGGAGACAGAUGUUGUGCAAGUAAGCACUAAAACAACAACUUGACUGAGAGAUAAUAGAUACUGAUUUUGUGGAGGGGACCAACCAAGUUUUCAGACCUUCAUCAUCUGGAAUAUGUGUCUUAGUUGUACUCUUAGCCAGUCAAACUUACUGACUUGAAAAUCAUUGCUAGUCUGCAAUGAGUACUGUGUAUUGGUAGAGUUACUCCUCAAUUCCUUGCAAGAGGAAUUCUGGGCAUUACAUUUAUGCAAAUGAAUCACCUUCUGUAGAUAUUGAUGAGCUACUUCUUGUGAAGAGACGACGCCCUUCUUGUCUGCUCAUGUGGAUGCUUCUGCCCAAGAGACUUUCCAGGAAAGGUGGCCUUCACUAUGCGCAGAAUCCUGGGCAUGGCACAUGUGGAAGCAUGGGAUGCUGCACCAUGUGCAUGGGGAGUCCUGCCCUCUUUAAACUAUAAUCUCAUAACUUGGAACAAUAGUGGUUCUAGAUUAAUGCUGAUCAAUAAAUAAAAUAAUUCUGGGGCUGAUUUUUACUUUCAGAAGCACAUGGUAGCAAUGAGCACCUCCGUCUUCUAAGGCUCAAGACAUAGACUACGUGACAAAAGGAAGCUGGAUAGCUAUUUUCUGAGAUUAAGCACAUGCUUCUGUCGAACUGUGUUGAAUGAAAGCCUGAAACUCAGUCUGUUGCUUAGAUUUUAGAUUUACUAGAUAUGCAAACACUAUGCAGGGUUUUCUGCUGAUGCAAACUAAAGCAAAAAUGCUACAGGAAAAUAAUAAUGAAUGGAAAAAUAUUCAAUGCAUAAAAAUUUAACUGUAAUGGAAUUUAACUUUGGCAGCAAAUGUAAACCAUCAGUGAAAUUACUUUUGAUGCGUGAACAUCUGUCUAUAUCUGCAAGGUCUUUUUUUUUACAAAGUGGUACAUUAAUUGAUACAACAUAGUCUUCCAGGGUGUCAAGGCAGAGCCAUGAAGGAGUUCAGCUGUGGAUCGUUUUUUUUGUGCAUUUUAAUUUUAUUCUUGGCUCAUUUUGAAGCCUGAGUUGAAGUGUGACUCAUCAGUUUAAUAAGCAAAAGAUGGCUAAAUGUGAUAUUUGUCCUAUCACUCUCUUCUGCAUUUUUGCCUGUAGAAACUAGAGUGAUUUAACCUCUCUAGCCCUGUGAGCCAUUUUGGCUUAAGAUGUAGAUUAGAUUGUUUGUAGUCUCGAGUGUUUCUGCCCUGAUUAUCUGCUCACACUGCUGCUCACCAGCAGGUCUGCACACAGGUAUUAGUGUUCACUUUUACACUUAAGUUUUCCUGGAUAUAAUGAUUCUGUAUCACUUCUGUCACUGUUCUCUUUGAGACGCUAAGUCUGGAUUCAUUGGGAAUUACUGGCAUUUUGCAGUAGGAUAUGAGACCUUUUCUGGAUAAAUGACAUUCUACUUAAUGCUUUCAAGAUGUUAAAUAAUUUUUACAUCAGUCAACAUGUUUUCAGUGUUUAAAUCCUAUCUAACACAAAAAUCCUUUCUUCCAGCUCCAGCAGACUGUCAGCAUGAAACCAAACUUUCCUUUCCUUUGAAAAUGUUUCAUAUCUGGAUUACUAUCCUACCUGAACUAAAUGAUUCAGCUUAUUUCUGAAACUGAUUUGUGUUCUCAUGCCAGGAAGCAAGGUCUAGUCAUAAUUGCCAAUUAAACAAAAUUAGUACUUACUUCCUGGUGCUCAUAUGCAUUCUAUACAUACAUGCAUGUCAAUACUUUGUACAAGCGAAACAACAAAAUAAAAAGAUAUAAUGGUGUUACCUGCAUAAUGACUGGAAGAGUUUAAAGUGUCAUUUGUAUAUCAUUGAAAAACUGCACGUGGAAAUAAAGAACGGUCCAAUACUGGACCAUUGAAAUUGGAAAAAUGCUAUUGGAUUUUGAAUCUGAUACUGAAAUAUUAUACUCAAAUACAAAGUACUCUCCUGUUUUCUUUACAGUUACUGAAGGGAGCAGCAAUAUUUGCUGAUUUUUCAAGUAAGUGUGAGAGCAAAUGUAUUGCUUUAGAGAAGCAUAGAGAAGCAUAGGUUAUUCAUGACAAUAAAUGUGCAGGGAAGUAUACUGACAUAUGAUCAGAAUUUAAAGGCCGGUUUUCAAAUCUGUUCUGUGCCCAGAAGCUCCCAUUGUGACACUUCUGGUCAGGCUAAUUAAGCAGCUCAGUAGCUAAGGUGCUAAACUAUUUUGAAAACUUGGUUACUGUUUUAAUUUUUAAUGAGAGGUGAGCUUCUGAAAAUCUGGACCACAUAAUGAGAUCCUUCUGCUCCUUGAAUCUGGGUGUAAUCCAAAACCAAUAAAAGUCACUGAACUCAGUAAUUUCUGGGUGAAGAAGAUUCACUUUUACUUUCCAGCUGGGUUGACAUUAUUCUGAAACACAUGUCUAUGUGAACUUGUUAAAAAAAGAAAUAAAGGUUAAAAAAAAGGUCAGUACCCGCCUCCAUUGGAAAGGUUUAUUGAGUCAUGUGGUUUCCAGAGAAGAAGAAUGGUAUGGAAGGCCAAGAGCGAUUUUGGGGUUUUGUUGUAUAGAAGCCUUUUUGUUUUACAGCAUGGAUUCAGCAAGACAACUGCAUUUCAUGGAAACAUGUAGGACAAUAAAUGCCUAAGUUACAAGAAACAUGCUCUACUCAUGCCCUUGUAACUAUUUCUUCUAUUGUGUUUCAUUCCUCAUAUAUGGUUCUCAUGCAAAACCAGUGACAAGCAGUCACUUGGUUUUUGUGACUAAUAUUAUUCCAUAAUGAUACAGAGGAGUUAUAGAUACUGAAUACAUUUUAAUGACAUCACAAGUUGAGCUGACCUGGUGCCACCAAACAUACCAUAUCAUGCUCUAAGAAACAAUGGAGGGUAAUUCCAGCCACAGACACUUUCCCAAGCAUCCGUUACUUGGCAGUCUGGGGUGUUUUAUAGUGUUUAUAGAUUUUUAAGGUUGGAAGAGACGCCUUCAGUCUGACAUUCUGCACAGACCCUAAAAUUACUGUAGCAAAGGGAAUCACUUCUACAGAAAUUACCUUAAAGAAAUGUGGUUGGAAUAAUGAAAUUUCCCAGGCCUUUUAAGAGGUCUUAGAUUGCUAUUUUAUGGCUCUAGGAAUUAUAGGCUUGGCUACUAAUUUACAUAUGAAUUACUACUUUCAUAACAUGUAACUCGGUAGCCUUUAAGGGAAAUCCCUAUGGCUGCUCUCAGUUAAAUUUAUUCAACUUAACAACAUUCAUUGGAGGGCUGGCUCUGUUGCUCCCUUUUGAAAGUUUACUAUAUGCAGUAGUAGGACUGCAGCUGUAGUAGUGUGGUUCUUAAAAGACUUAAUGCAAUGUUUAAUGGUUAUAUGUUUGUUGGAUUGUGGUGGGUCACCGUGAUUUUUGGAAAUGUUAUCUGUGUGAUUUAAAGGAAGGAUAAAAGUAACUUUGAUGUAUGAAAACCAAAAUUCUUAUCACCAGAGAAAAGGAGAAAAGUUUCUUGGUAGCUUGCAUGGCUGCAUCGUGUGAGAAUCCAUGUUUUACAAAUACUGUGUUUUGAUAAGCUUGCUUUCCAAAGCUGAAAUAAAGUAUUUAUGCACAUGA
Molecule: long non-coding RNA, 4322 nt
Organism: Aquila chrysaetos chrysaetos
Lineage: Eukaryota; Metazoa; Chordata; Aves; Accipitriformes; Accipitridae
Exons: 2
Source: RefSeq, a predicted model, not a curated record